Molecule: long non-coding RNA, 205 nt
Organism: Ixodes scapularis (black-legged tick)
Lineage: Eukaryota; Metazoa; Arthropoda; Arachnida; Ixodida; Ixodidae
Exons: 3
Source: RefSeq, a predicted model, not a curated record
AUACUAAAGGUCACUAUGUGGGUUGCAGAAGCAGACUGAUCCAGUGGCUCUACCAUGACCUGUGUCUGUAUGAUAUGUACCCAGAUAAACUGUAUGAGAAGGCUGCAAAGUGCCUUGUGGAUAUGUUCCCCACGCUUGCAGACACCACAGGAAGUGGACAUGACUCCUGGCGCCUCGCACUUCGCUUCAAGGCGAAGCGUGAACG